AUAUUAUCGUAGGUUCCCUUCAAUCACUUCACGUGGCACUAUUUUAAGGCCUACUUUAUGAAGUAUUUGGAGGAACUCUCGGUGUCAC
RNAcentral lists this microRNA precursor (88 nucleotides) under Oryza meridionalis. Its description in RNAcentral is "pre miRNA mir-395". It matches the Rfam family "mir-395 microRNA precursor family". From Rfam's summary of the family: mir-395 was identified in both Arabidopsis thaliana and Oryza sativa computationally and was later experimentally verified. mir-395 is thought to target mRNAs coding for ATP sulphurylases. Lineage: Eukaryota; Viridiplantae; Streptophyta; Magnoliopsida; Poales; Poaceae. The record is from Rfam by way of RNAcentral.